AUGCAGGCCCAGGAAGGUUUUGUGCAUGGGGGGGGGAAGGGAGGCUUCCUCGUGUUGUGCUUCUUGCUUUUUGUGCUGGGGGGCAAUUUCUCUCCAGGACCGGGACCUUGCAGGGCCUGCACGCUGGCUGGUGCUCUCGGGGGGUUGAGGAGGAGGCAAAGCCACUUUGUCAAGGUGUGUGGAAACCCCGCACUAAGGUCAAGAGGGGUUGUGCUCCGGUCCCAUCUGGAGCAGAGAGAGCGAAGUGAGUGGGGGGGGGAAACGGGGGGGCACUGCAGUCCCACAUUUCUUUCAACCUCCCAGGUGAGCCAGGAUUGCACAAACCAGGAGAGGAGCCGAUCUCUGCGCCAUCAUGCACCCAGCCUCUGUGCGUGUUUGCUCUCCUCUGGGAAAAGGGAGUUCUCCUCUGCCACGGGAGAGAGGCGUGGGCCCAGCCAGCCUCCAGGGUCUACGUCUGAGGGAUACCUCUGUGGUCCAGGUGUGAAACCCUCUCUGCCUGCCUUCCCAGGAGUUUGCCGGGGGGAGGGGCUUGCUCCUGGCUGAGCCUCUGGAGGUGAUUCCUGACCAACUGACCGAGGCCUCCUUGCCUGACCGGUCCAAAGGCAGCCCUGGGCACCUGGCCCUUCGCUGAGAAGGAGAACGUAGGAGAGCCCCAAACAGGGAGCAUCCUCCACUGGGGUGGGGGGGCAAAAGCAGGCACAGACCUUGAAUGUCAGGCCAAAAAGAAAAAGAAGACAAAAACACGGUGGCCCCUCAAAGACCAGCGACUCUAUUUUAUUGUGAGGUUUUGUGGAUCGAGUCCACUUCCUCGGAUGUAAGAGACAUUGGUACACUGGACCCACCCAAGCUCACGUCAAAAUAGAGCAGUUUCUUUUUAAGGGGCCAGAAUGAUUUUGUCCCCUUUUUGCUUUUGCUUUUUCCUGUGCCUUUGGCCUGAUACUCCAGGAAUGACCAACUAGAACCUAAUCUAGAACCCAGUGGUCGCCUGGAAAACCAGCAAGUGUUAUCGGGAACGACCCCCUUGGAGGCUCCCACCUCCUUCUGCAGGGCCUUGGAGCAAGGAAGCCUCAGGAGGGAGCCGUUUCAAGGCAAACCCACAGACACACCCAGCAGGGCGACAGUCUUUGCAGUGGUGAGACAUGGACAUUGGAGUGGGCAGAGGGGAAUGGAGGGGGGGGGAAUGAUACAUACAAGAAACUGCCUGCGCAGGGGCCGGCCGUAGUGCAGAGCUCAGCCAAGCUGGGUGCUCAGCCGGACAGCCAAACAUGGACGGACUGAGUCACAUCCAGCAGGAGAUUAAAAAGCCCUUGUCCCUGUUCAAGCCGAGGGAGCAAGCGAGACGAAACCUCCGUAUGAAUUCUCGCUUGCUGUGUCCUGCGGGAGUCCCUCCUGGAUGUCCUUUGAGGCCGGGGUGG
This 1415-nucleotide long non-coding RNA is filed under the name Pogona vitticeps (central bearded dragon). Its description in RNAcentral is "lncRNA (ENSPVIG00000001856.1)". The record is from RNAcentral. Lineage: Eukaryota; Metazoa; Chordata; Lepidosauria; Squamata; Agamidae.